UCAACAUGAGAGUUUGAUCCUGGCUCAGAACGAACGCUGGCGGCAGGCUUAACACAUGCAAGUCGAGCGCCCCGCAAGGGGAGCGGCAGACGGGUGAGUAACGCGUGGGAA
This 111-nucleotide ribosomal RNA is filed under the name Rhizobium leguminosarum. RNAcentral describes it as "partial 16S ribosomal RNA". It matches the Rfam family "Bacterial small subunit ribosomal RNA", at positions 1 to 123 of the family's 1533-position model. The record is from RNAcentral. Lineage: Bacteria; Pseudomonadati; Pseudomonadota; Alphaproteobacteria; Hyphomicrobiales; Rhizobiaceae.